This is a long non-coding RNA of Acinonyx jubatus (cheetah), 8435 nucleotides long. RefSeq lists it as uncharacterized. NCBI's taxonomy places the organism in Eukaryota, Metazoa, Chordata, Mammalia, Carnivora, Felidae. The transcript has 12 exons. The record is from RefSeq and is a predicted model, not a curated record.
CACCUUUUCAUUCCCUCUCCUCUGUACAGAAGUCUCCCCAUCGCCACCAGCAUUCCAGUUGGACCUCAGGAGCCUAAAGGAUUUUGGAUGAUCGUCUCCCAUGCUCAGAUGCUCGGCCUCAGGCCUCAGUGUUUGACAGAAAUCAGUGAUUUUUCAGAGAACUGGAAGGUGCCCACAACUGACACUAGUGUAUUUUUUGUCACUUCAUAACACCCAUGGACAGUCCUCUGCUUUUCCAUACAAGAGGAAGCUCAGGAAUGCUUUGCUUCAUUCUAGGUCAGGCUGCCUGCAGAUAGAGACCCUUUCCUCUGCUGCCUUAUUGCCAGUUACAUUAAAUACAGUAGAUGACAAGAGUUUAUUAAUACUGUACUGUAGUCAACAUCUGUGCGAGUGCAUACAAUGACCUUCAUGCAGAAAAAGAUUCCAUUGAGCCUAUAGAUAGCAGUGAUUCCCUUAGUGAUAGUGAAAGUCAUCCUACACAAUAAGCCUCCUGUCUCUUGUCUCCCUCACACCAGCCAUGAAGGUUUUCAAAGGUAAGUGCAGGUUAACUUGUUUAUUUUUUUAUUUUGGAUUGUCUUUAUUAUUUUGUGUUGUAUUACACUAUUUUUUAAUGUUUAUUUAUUUUUGAGAGACAGAGCACAAAUUGAGAAGGGGCAGAGAGAGAGACACAGAAUCCAAAGCAGGCUCCAGGCUCUGUGCUUUCAGCAGAGAGCUAGACGUGGGGCUCGGACUCGUGAACUGUGAGGUCAUGACCUGAGCCGAAGUCAGACACUUUACCGAUGGAGCCACCCAGCCAGUUCACUCUCUGGCCAAUUCGGUCUCACUUUGGCACCUGCCGGCCCUGAAUGCUGAGGUUCCUGGCAGGUCUCUGCUGCAAAAAGACUUCUCUGUGCCUCAGCAGACUCCAGGCCAACUCCAACGCCCGGACCCCAAUCACCUUGGGAAGCCCAAGGAAGCAAGUCCUCGGGCUCUGGCUCACAACAACACUGCACAACUAGAGGAAUGAAGGUGUGUUCAGUGUAGGAAGAGUUGGAGUUCUGCCUUUGUGAGCCUCAGAAGGGAGUCAGGACCGACAGCCUCCUCCCUUUACCUACCUCACAACCAGGGUCCUGCAUCUACCCGCAGUCCAGAGAGUUGGAGUGGAGGUACACAUCUGACCAACACGCUCCUUCCUUCUCUUCCUCUCUCUCCCCUUCCCACUAUCCUCCUCCAGGCCUGGGAAAGAUGUAGGCUUUGCUUCUCUUUCUCCUACAUUUCAUCUCUGUCAAGAGCAGGGUUUUGCUGUCAUGGAUGGAAGGGUACUUUCUCUGCUAUGGGAUCCUCUGGGUUGAGUACCUGAUAUGUUAGAGGGCAAAAAACAAAAAUAUUUGGGAAACCGUCUCUCGGGAUCAUCGUCUGGCUUGUAAUGCUUUUAUGUUGCCUUAUCCCUGCUUUUCAUGCCAGGAAUUAUAUAUUGUUCUGUUUUUCUCUUCAUCAUUUUUAUAAUAUAUUCUCUUCCCCUGUCAGGCAGAUUUGCUGUCUCAGAUUGACUGGGCCAAAGGUCAUGGACUCUGAAAGGGGUUUCCAUAUGCUGAACUGAGGGGAAGAAGGAACUUUUGGCUUCCUCAUAUCAUCCUGCAUUCUUACUUGAUCAGCACUACAUUCUGUGAUUAUGAGCUAUUCAAGGUCAAACUGCAACAAGAGGAAAGUCGUCUCCUGGUUAGUCCUGGAUUUGAUUAGCGAUCCCACUCAUGGGUGGGUAAAGCCAGAGAGCGUUCCGUGUGCCCAAGCAUAGGCAUCACUUAAAAGCAAGAAGAAGAAAGAAGUCUGGAGCUUGGACCUUAACGACAUCCGCAUCCCACCCCUACAGAGGGGCAGACCCCGUGCUAUGGUGCAAGAGACAGCAGCAACUUGCCUUCCAACUUGAAGAAGAUAUCACAAUGUGUUCCUGAGCAUUGGAUUUCCAGAAACUUCACUAAGACGACAGUCUUCUGAAAGAUGUGUUAUAAAAGAGUUUUUGGCAUCUUGAAGCUUCUGCCAGAUUUAUUUUGGUAUCCUAUGGCCAGAGACAGUAGAACAUCACAGAGCACGAUGCAGCUUCUGGUCUUGCAAUUUCUGAUGACCCAGCUGCUUCAAGUCCAGGGGCUGCAGAGGCUGGACCACAGAUGGCGAUGUAGCAAUGUCAAGAAGACAGAAGACAAUGUGUCAUGCAUUCCACAAACCAUCAAGGAAAAAGUAAGUCGAGACCCAAAGCAGUUAGCUAAGAUCAUUCCACUACCAUUUGGUGGAGGAAGAUUGAGGCUCAGGCUCUCUGAGUCUUACUCUUUCUGCUGCACCAAAGUAGAAAUGCAAAGUAGGCAAAGGAGAGAGAAAGUGCCCGUUCCUGAAGAAGUGCUUCUCAGGUUUCAAACUGGAAAGGCUCAUCAGCAAAGACUCCUUGCCACAGAAGGUGACCAAAGAGUACAAAGCUGUCCGGCUCUUAACCACUCCACCAUCCCACUUCUCAUUGUGCUGUGUAAGUAAGCACACACAAACACAUCCACACACAAUGUGACUUUCACAUGCCAGUCACCGCGGUAAGGACUUUGGCAUGGUAUUUCACUGUGUCGCCAUUGUAAGUGAGGCAUAAUUUCAUUAUUUUUAUUUCUAUUUUUCCUAGCAAAAUUUUCCUAAUUUUAGAAAUACAAAUUUGAGAUCUAUUAAACUCUCUCUCAUCUCUCAUCUCAUAAAUGAGAUGGGUUCUAUAACUGGGUAGGUAAUUAGGCUUUUUUAAAGAGUUAAAGAGGACACUGCCCACAAGAAUAAAAAUCAAUGAGAGUAAAGACCUGACAAAGAAGAAACUUGUACGUCCAAAGUCCAUAGAUGAGAGUAAUUCAAGACCCUAGAAUAAUGAGGCCAUGGAGGCAGUUUCCAACAAGAUUUAGGAAUAAAUAGCUCUGCAAAAGGCUUUGCCAUAAACUUCAGAGAAAAUAAAUCUAUAAAUAAUUUCAUUUUCAUGCUUGAAAGUGUAAGUAUUUGGAAGUACAAGGUUGUCGAAUUUCUAUUAAAAAUCAGAUAUAGAUAACCUCAGAUGAUGAGUGAUCGUAAAACACAGCUUUGCAGUUCUGAACCAUGAUUGAAAACAAUCAUUGUUCUCUCCCUUUCUCUCUCUCUCUCUCUUUCUCUCUCUCUCUCUCUCUCUCACACACACACACACACACACACACUUGCACACUAACACACAAAAUGUAGUUUGCAUUUUUAUCCUAUUUUCCAAUAUUCAUAGGGUAAUCACUGGUCACAUUCCUGCAUCACCCUGUUUUGUGCUUUCGUUCUAUUCUAUUUUUUUUUAAGUUGAUUUAUUUAUGAGAGAUAGAGACAGCAUGAGUGGAGGAAGAGCAGGGGGAGGGGCAGAGAGAGAGGGAGAAGGAGGCUCCAGGCUCUGAGCUGUCAGCACAGAGCCCAACGUGGGGCUCGAACCCAAGAACUGUGAAAUCAUGACCUGAGCCGAAGUCGGACGCUUAACCAACUGAGCCACCCAGGCACCCCUAAUUUCUUUUCUUUAAAUAAAAGUCACAAAAGUUACGUUAAGGUAUUAUUUGGACACACAAAAGAGCAAUCUUUAAAAUGUCUACACAGACUUUGAGAAAUGCUAAACUAUGUGAGCACCUUUUGAGACAACAAAUCCCUUCCUACUAUGUGAGUUGCCUUCCUCCUACAUGCAAGGCAUUUAGGAGAGUGCAUGGCUCAUAGUAAAUGCUCUGCAAGCAUUUGUUGCUAUUGUUGUUGUUUUUUAUCCUCCCCAGCACCUCCUCCUCCUACUCCUCCUCUUCCUCUAAAACUUGCCUCACUGCAAUCUUCAAUAAUGGACUCUUGCAGCCAUCACCCUGCCUCUUCCUUGGCCACAGAUGGUUGAACCAGGAGUGGAAACCUGACUCGAGCCACUCAGAUUUCCUCUCCCAGGAAUUUAUUUGGUGAUUCCGCAUUGUCUCUGUUAGCAUCAAGCCGAGUGGAUAGAUAGGGGUCUGGGAAAGCCAUUUUACAAUAUGUGCACAAGUAAGUCAACCUGCUAAGUGAGAGGAAAAUGAAGGAGCUGAGAGAGAAAGAGAGCAGAAAUAUCUUGUGGACCCAUAGGAGGGGAGACAAAGAGAGUUAGAAUGCUGUGAAUUGGAAUGACUUUCCAUUUCUGGUUCCAGCUCUUUGUGAGCUGUGACUUCACUUCUUUCACUAGGUUGGUGUUACUUUCAACAUGUUUCCAUUGUUGCUUAAAUUAAUAUGAAUGGAUUUUGAUAAAUGGCAAAAGUGAUUGCUGAUUAUAACAAGAAUACACUUCAAAAUAAAAGGUGGCUAAGAAAAUUUGAGGAGAAGCCACAAGACCCACAUUCUAAUUCACUUAUUUUAGGAGAAAACACAAAAGUAAUUUUAGAUUGAAGUUGUUCUUAUAAUGUAUUUGAUAGGAAUGAUUCUACUUUGAGAGCCAUUGAGUAUACUCUAGUAGUUUGAGAUUUAGAUCUGUAUACUUUCUUAAUGGCUUUCUGGAACAUUUUUGGGGGGUAAGCAGUGCUACUGUAAUGCACAAAAUUAUAUCUUGGUGUACUGAAAGCAUUAAAGAGCUUCUUUUAUUAACCGACUUUCUACUAAGAAAUGACUGGGGUACUGGUCAAAAGACAGAAUUCUAACAAAGACUGCAAAUACCUGAUACUAUUGAUGCAACCGUGGGAAGUAUUAAUAUAAAUUUUAAAGCAAUAAGUUCUUCAGGGAAGCAUAUAUAAACUGGGGAAAAAAUAAAAUAUCUUCUGCUUCUUCUAGAGUUACUAAUAGUUUUUGGUGUCAGUACUGGUAAUUACAAACAAACCACGUGAGCCUGUCCCCAAGCAUGCCCAUCGCAGGUAUCCCAUUUCCUUGGAUUUUAUUUGUCUUACAAGUCAUCAUUUGCAUACACGGAGCUCUUCUCAACAAAUAUGCAUGAAUCCAAAAUGGACUAAGUGCUAUAUUUUCCUCAGAUUUUGUUAAAUGCCAUUGUCUGACUCACAAAUCCUUAGUCUGGUGUAGCUGAAUUCCCUGUCUCUUGUAAGAAUUCUUCUUAUGAAUGGUUUGGGAUUUGAAGUGUGAAAACAUAUACUUGUGCUAUGGCUAUAAAUGGUGAGACUGAUGUUUAUUAUGAAUUUACAAUAAAAAUAUUUUCCCAUUGCACGUGCAUGCACACACACACACACACACACACACACAGCAUCUUGAUUUACAUGCAAUUCUUCCAUGCUGAGGGCCAGGCUGUAAAAGUUCUUCUUUCCACCUCACCCUAAGUAAAGAUCUCCUAGCCUCCCUUUCUUCUACACAUGUGCACCUGCUCUGACAGUCCACCACCACCUCCUAUGCUUCUCCAACAUCCCCUUCCUGUAGCCUCUACCACCAACCUUUGGGAUCCCCUGGUCAGCCCUUCAUCCAGGCCUGCUGGAGACCUCUUCCCAAACUGUAGAAACUGGAUCAGUGACCUGAUGAAGGGUCUCCGCUCAUACUUCUGUGUAUUCAGGAAAGGAGAGAGGAAAGAGAAGUUACAGAUAUCUCAAGUUAGAAUUCUGAAUGUAUCUUCCAGUGGAAGCAAUAAUAGAAAUGAUAUUACAUGUGUAACAUAAUUGAUAUUAUUCUUCGGGUUUCUUUCAUUCAUUUACUUAUGCACCAAAAUGUUUUUUUGUUAUCUACUAUAUUUCAGGUACCACUUACGAGUCCAGGGAAAUGUCCAUAACAAAUAGAUAAAAUUAUGGGUUUUUUAUGGAUUGGUCUUAAUACAUAAACAUGAUGAAUAACAUUGAUCCUAUAGGAAAUCGUGCACUGAGUUCAUAAUAAUCUCACAGAAUGCAACCAUCCCAUCAGUCAGCUGAAGAAUUACUAUAUAUAUCUAUAUCUAUACAUGUAUAAAUACUAAUUUCUUAGUCAAAAUCUUAAAAGCCUAUGUAUUCAUUCAUAGACACAUAGCUAAAUAAAUAUGCAUGCUUAGUCUCCAUUUACUAUACCAUAGAAACUGGUUUCCAGACCUCGAAUCACUGAAAGUGAUUUCUUCUCAUUAUUCCCCAAAAUAUCACAUCAAAUUUCUAACAUAUAUUUUAAGUCUAAAAUAAAGUUCCAAAUCCAAAAAAUUGUUUAGGUUUCCACCUGGAUAAAGCAUAGCUGCUAAGGAUGUAUGCUUUGGAAUCAGACCUACUUCCAAAUCUUAGUACUUUUGUCACUCUGUGCAAGUUACAAAACUCUUAGCCCUUAAAUUUCAGAACUGUAAUGAGGAUAAUGGUACAUGUCAUAUAAGAUUAACAUGAGUAUUAAAUGAAAUUAAGCAGUGUAUACAUUAGGCCCACCAUGCCUAGUACAAGAUAAGUACUCAAAAACUUAUACUUAUUAAUAUAAAAUGGCUAUACUUCAUCUAUCUCAUGAGCCAAAGAAUUAGUUGAAGAAUUCGAAAAGAAUUAGCUGACUUCAAAGCCCUUGAGAAACAAUAGGCUACCAUGUCCUCUUCUGAUGAGAGUAUAUUUAGAAGGUGAAAGUACAACAAAUCACAUUUUGUAGACAGGUGUUCAAUUAUAUUUUUCUUUCUAUCUUUGUUUCUUUUGCUUUUAUCAUGCCCCAUGGUACGUGUUCAAAUAUUCCCAUCUACCAUGCUAAGGAAGCAACUAUAGUAAUUCCAUUAAUACAAAUACAUCAGCCUGGUAAGUCAUAUGAACACUCCAACCAAACUCCAAAGGAGCAACUGAAGGUGAUUUUUUAAAAUUACAUCUCUGAAUCCAUCUGACCAAACCUAGGGGGCAGAAAUGGAUCAAAUGAUGUAUGAACGGGCAGGUAACCGUUACCCAUAAAUAAUUUCCUUUCAAGACUUAGAAAUGACAUUGAUUGAGAAAUGACAUGCUAUUUCUCACAUGAGCUAUUAGCUAGACAUCUCUUUAACAUUCCUUUUUUCCGCCUAUCUCCCCAGGGGAGCAUUUUAAUAUACAAUGCUAGUCUGGAAUGGGCAUUUGUUCAGAAGGAGAAAUACAGUUACAAGUAGCUCUUCCUGAACAGCUUCUCCGGUGAGGAAACAGCUCAUAUGCCUUUGUCCCAGGCAUCCAUCCUCCAAUUAGGAUGCAUCCUCCAGUUAGCGGAGAAUUAAAACCAUCCUUUUCCCAGUAAUAAAAGUCCUUCUAAUCCCAAGUGGGAGGCGCAGGGGGAAAGGGGGGUUAAUUAAAAGUUAAAAGCCUCAGGCAGAAAGUAAGUCCACAUGACCACAUCGUUGAGAACUAUACCGUCUAAUUUUUUUUUAUGUUUAUUUAUUUUUGAGAAAGAAAGUCAGAGUGUGAGCAGGGGAGAGGCAGAGAGAGAGGGAGACGCAGAAUCCAAAGCAGGCUCCACGGUCAGCACAGAGCCUGAUGCAAGGCUUGAACUCACAGACUGUGAGAUCAUGACCUAAGCCAAAGUCGGAAGUUCUACUGAAUGAGCCACCCAGGUGCCCCGACAAGUAUGCCAUCUAAUCAAGCAAUGCAGGUGCUGGAGGUGAGGAUUCACCCAAAGAAGGAAACAUUGGCUUACAUGGGAAAACUUUCAGAUAAUAAAUAGAUAAUUCAAAGUUUUUCUGUUUUCUGGCCUUAAGUAUGAAAUGCAGAGCUGCUUCUUCACUAGAACCUAAAGAAUUCAUUAUCCUUGGGCUGUGACUCACACGUGUAAUUUUCUUUCCUUAUUUGCAUCUAUUCAACCAGAUGUGCAGGUCUUCUAGUGCUACUUUGGAAAUAAGAAUGAAAACAGGACCCCUGGGUGGCUCAGUCGGUUAAACGUCCAACUUUGGCCCAGGUCAUGAUCUCACAGUUUGGGAGUUCAAGGCCCACAUGAGGCUUUCUGCUGUCAGCACAGAGCCCACUUUGGAGCCUAUGACUCUCUCUCUGCCCCUCCCCGUGCUUUCACAUGCUCUCUCUCUCCCUCUCUCUUAAAAAUAAAUAAACAUUUAAGAAUUAAAACAAACAAGGCUAAUAAUAAUCAAGAGGUAGACAUAAAAUAAAUAUAACUGUUUUAUCUUGCCCUCAUUGUUUCUUUACAUCUUGUUUUUGAAGAAUCCAACUCCACGUAUGUAUCUUUGCAAAUGCUGUGCAUAGAUCAGUAAACUUUAUAUUGAAAAUACAUUGAAAUGGUCUCUAUAUAUCUAUCUGUCUCUCUCAUUAGACUAUAAGUUCCUAGUUACAGAAUCUAUGACUUAUACGUCUUUGUAGUAUGGCAUAGGAUAGUGUCUUGGAAAUUUUGCCUCAGUUUUUAACCUGUUUACAUUUAGAUAAGACCUAACAUGAAACAAACGUAGCCAAAUUCAAGGAUGAGUUUGAGUAGGCAUUAUUUGAAAUGAAGGCAGUUUGUGUCUGUCAAAUACUAAAGAGAACUUCUAGCUCUAAAACCGGAAAUAUUUGUAUGAACUUUUGACCUUUAAAAAUAUAUUCUUUUACAAAAACAAAGACGGCAUUGCAAAUUAGUGAGGA